This 560-nucleotide ribosomal RNA is filed under the name uncultured bacterium. RNAcentral's name for it is "bacterial SSU rRNA". It matches the Rfam family "Bacterial small subunit ribosomal RNA", at positions 319 to 879 of the family's 1533-position model. The record is from RNAcentral.
CUGAGACACGGACCAAACUCCUACGGGAGGCAGCAGUGAGGAAUAUUGGUCAAUGGCCGAGAGGCUGAACCAGCCAAGUCGCGUGAGGGAUGAAGGUUCUAUGGAUCGUAAACCUCUUUUAUAAGGGAAUAAAGUGCGGGACGUGUCCCGUUUUGUAUGUACCUUAUGAAUAAGGAUCGGCUAACUCCGUGCCAGCAGCCGCGGUAAUACGGAGGAUCCGAGCGUUAUCCGGAUUUAUUGGGUUUAAAGGGUGCGUAGGCGGCCUUUUAAGUCAGCGGUGAAAGUCUGUGGCUCAACCAUAGAAUUGCCGUUGAAACUGGGGGGCUUGAGUAUGUUUGAGGCAGGCGGAAUGCGUGGUGUAGCGGUGAAAUGCAUAGAUAUCACGCAGAACCCCGAUUGCGAAGGCAGCCUGCCAAGCCAUUACUGACGCUGAUGCACGAAAGCGUGGGGAUCAAACAGGAUUAGAUACCCUGGUAGUCCACGCAGUAAACGAUGAUCACUAGCUGUUUGCGAUACACUGUAAGCGGCACAGCGAAAGCGUUAAGUGAUCCACCUGGGGA